CACCUGACCCCAUGCCGAACUCAGAAG
This 27-nucleotide ribosomal RNA is filed under the name Escherichia coli. The record is from RNAcentral. Lineage: Bacteria; Pseudomonadati; Pseudomonadota; Gammaproteobacteria; Enterobacterales; Enterobacteriaceae. RNAcentral also lists the same sequence under 8 other names.